Molecule: unclassified non-coding RNA, 290 nt
Filed under: plant metagenome
Description: partial contains small subunit ribosomal RNA and internal transcribed spacer 1
Rfam family: Eukaryotic small subunit ribosomal RNA (bases 1-46)
Source: RNAcentral
AAGUCGUAACAAGGUUUCCGUAGGUGAACCUGCGGAAGGAUCAUUAUUGAAUGUAGAGGAGUUGUUUAGCUGGCCUUUCGAGGUACUGUGCUCGCUCCUUUCACUCUCUUACCACCUGUGCACCUCUUGUAGUCUUUUUGUAUUCCCUCUUCGGAGGAAGGCGGAGUGUUGCCGUGCGCAAAGCAUUGGCUCUACUCCAUCUCAAAAGGACUAUGUUUUUACAUACCCCUUCAAUAAACCUUUGAAUGUCUUCUAGUCUUGCCGUCAAAAAGCAGACUUAUUAAUUACAA